RNAcentral lists this microRNA precursor (85 nucleotides) under Cajanus cajan (pigeon pea). Its description in RNAcentral is "miRNA gene-KK1_006103". Lineage: Eukaryota; Viridiplantae; Streptophyta; Magnoliopsida; Fabales; Fabaceae. The record is from RNAcentral.
AUGACAGAAGAGGAGAGAGCACACUCCCAACAAAGGCAAAGACUCCUUUAACCAUUCCCGGGUUGUGCUCUCUCUCUUCUGUCAA